GGUAGGAUGGCCGAGUGGUCAAAGGCAACAGACUGUAAAUCUGUCGGCGUGAGCCUACGCUAGUUCGAACCUAGCUCCUACCACCA
This 86-nucleotide transfer RNA is filed under the name Cloacibacillus porcorum. RNAcentral describes it as "tRNA-Tyr". It matches the Rfam family "tRNA". From Rfam's summary of the family: Transfer RNA (tRNA) molecules are approximately 80 nucleotides in length. RNAcentral also lists the same sequence under 2 other names. The record is from RNAcentral. Lineage: Bacteria; Thermotogati; Synergistota; Synergistia; Synergistales; Synergistaceae.